GUCUAUGGCCAUACCACCCUGAACACCCCCGAUCUUGUCUGAAAGCUAAGCAGGGUCAGAAUGGAACUGGUUAGCACUUGGAUGGGAUAAAUUGGACUCUUCCCCUUCAUAUAUCCAUAGAGA
RNAcentral lists this ribosomal RNA (123 nucleotides) under Microcebus murinus (gray mouse lemur). The record is from RNAcentral. Lineage: Eukaryota; Metazoa; Chordata; Mammalia; Primates; Cheirogaleidae.